AUUGAACGCUGGCGGCAUGCCUUACACAUGCAAGUCGAACGGUAACAGGUCUUCGGAUGCUGACGAGUGGCGAACGGGUGAAUAAUACAUCGGAACGUGCCUAGUAGUGGGGGAUAACUACUCGAAAGAGUGGCUAAUACCGCAUGAGAUCUACGGAUGAAAGCAGGGGAUCGCAAGACCUUGUGCUACUAGAGCGGCCGGCGGCAGAUUAGGUAGUUGGUGGGAUAAAAGCUUACCAAGCCGACGAUCUGUAGCUGGUCUGAGAGGACGAUCAGCCACACUGGGACUGGGACACGGCCCAGACUCCUACGGGAGGCAGCAGUGGGGAAUUUUGGACAAUGGGCGAAGGCCUGAUUCAGCAAUGCCGCGUGCAGGAUGAAGGCCUUCGGGUUGUAAACUGCUUUUGUACGGAACGAAAAGCCCCGGGUUAAUACCCUGGGGUCAUGACGGUACCGUAAGAAUAAGCACCGGCUAACUACGUGCCAGCCGCCGCCGUAA
This 498-nucleotide ribosomal RNA is filed under the name uncultured bacterium. RNAcentral's name for it is "partial 16S ribosomal RNA". It matches the Rfam family "Bacterial small subunit ribosomal RNA", at positions 30 to 523 of the family's 1533-position model. The record is from RNAcentral.